RNAcentral lists this ribosomal RNA (342 nucleotides) under Pseudodiaptomus marinus. RNAcentral's name for it is "SSU rRNA". It matches the Rfam family "Eukaryotic small subunit ribosomal RNA", at positions 38 to 379 of the family's 1831-position model. The record is from RNAcentral. Lineage: Eukaryota; Metazoa; Arthropoda; Copepoda; Calanoida; Pseudodiaptomidae.
CAAAGAUUAAGCCAUGCAUGUCUAAGUACAAGCCUCAGUAAGGUGAAACCGCGAAUGGCUCAUUAAAUCACACCUAAUCUACUAGAAAGUUAAACAGUUACUUGGAUAACUGAGCUAAUUGUUGAGCUAAUACAUGCGAAAAUCCCCGACUCACGGAGGGGAGCUUUUAUUAGAUCAAAACCAGACGGCCUCGGCCGUAAUCCCUGGUGACUCUGAAUAACUUUGGGCUGAUCGUAUUGCCUUGUGCAGGCGACGUUUCUUUCGAAGGUGUGCCCUAUCAACUGUCGACUGUGAUAUAGACGCUCACAGUGGUUUUGACGGGUAACGGGGAAUCAGGGUUCG